ACAGAGGGUGCAAGCGUUAAUCGGAGUUACUGGGCGUAAAGGGCGCGUAGGCUGACGUUUAAGUCAAUUGUGAAAUCCCUGGGCUUAACCUAGGAAUUGCAGUUAAUACUGAGAAUCUAGAGUAUGGUAGAGGGAAGUGGAAUUCUCGGUGUAGUGGUUAAAGACGUAGAUAUCGAGAAGAACACCGGUGGCGAAGGCGACUUCCUGGACCAAGACUGACGCUGAGGCGCGAAAGCGUGGGGAGCAAACAG
This 251-nucleotide ribosomal RNA is filed under the name uncultured prokaryote. RNAcentral describes it as "partial 16S rRNA". It matches the Rfam family "Bacterial small subunit ribosomal RNA", at positions 525 to 775 of the family's 1533-position model. The record is from RNAcentral.